CUUCCUCACAGAUUACCAGCAGGUUAUUUCUGAUUAAGUGUCUGAUGUUAGUAUUUAUUUUGUUGCGGUUAAAACCAAAUUAUAUUCCGCAUUAUUUUGAAAUUUGCACCCAAUUGACAUCACAAAUAGACUGUAGGAAUUCCCAAGUGUCUAUAAGCUUUGUUUUAAGAGGUAAUGACAAUGUAGCGCAUAUUAAAUCAUUAUAAUAGGUAUAGGUCUCCAUUUU
This 226-nucleotide long non-coding RNA is filed under the name Mytilus galloprovincialis (Mediterranean mussel). Lineage: Eukaryota; Metazoa; Mollusca; Bivalvia; Mytilida; Mytilidae. The record is from RNAcentral.